UCUUUGGUCGGAGCGGGACGGCCACCAGAGCGGCUGGGUAAGGGGCGGGUGUCGAGGAGCGAGGGACGCACGUUCAGAAAUAGGAACUGCUUAUCAGGGCACCGUUUUCUAAGUGGGCCCAGGGCUUUCUAUUUUAAAAGUGCAUUUGCCCCCCGAGCAGGCGCCUCACGGUGGGCGCGGAGCCCGAGGUGGGACCCGAACUCGUGAACCGCAAGGUCACAACCUGAGCCUGAAACCAAGAGUCUGAUGCUUCAUUGGCUGAGCCACCAGGCGCCGCUCUGCAAAUCAAUUCCGAUGGCAACUAGGGGAAGACCAUUGUGACUUUGAAACUUGGUCCGGGGGGACUGAGCUGAAGACCACCAAGACACUGCACACAGACCACCCACUGCAGAGUCUUGCACGGAUCUGCUGGCCAGUCUCGCAGUGAUACCGCAAGGCACCCUAAGCCACGUUUUGCAGGGUGAGCGGAAGAGUGAGAGCAGGUGUUGAAAAGCCAUGAAAAAAAAAAAAAGAAUUAAAACCAAAAUGUGCCUCAGGCUCAUUUCAGCUGGCAGCAGAAUUCUCUCUCUCUUUCUUUUGAAUUUGGUGUUAUUACAGGCAUCGACACUGAAAUACCAGAAGUCUCGGGGGCCAGAGCACUUGGUCAGUCUGGAGGUGGGCUUCUCGUGAGCCCCCUGUAAAUCCGUGGAGGAGUGCAUGUGGAGGAAGAGAGAUGAGGGGGCCGCUCCAGGAAAGGGUGUACCCUGGAUGUGAGCUCCUGGGGACCCAGGAGACGCUGGCGUUGCGUAGAUGCAGCUGGGAGCUGGUCACCUGGGCGUGAAUCAUAGAAUCAUUCUGAGGAUUAAAUCAGCAAGCGCGUACAGGAUGCUUUGGCUUGUGCCCGGCCUGUGCACCUGUGCUCGGGAAAUAUUCGCUGUUGUGACUGUUUCUUUCCCGGGCAAAGCGAUACCAUCCUCUCUCUGCAGAAUGAGAAACUGAUGUCAGAGGAGAGGCACCGUUGUGGGUAGGGAGGAACUUCUGGGCUCACUUAUCCUCUUUCCUUUUUCUCGUUUCAGUUCUCCGCUCUUCGUCCUUGUUAGAAGGCCCCACAAGUUGAGUUUAAACUGGGGACUUCUCCAGUGCUGUUGAAUUCACGGAGUGUGUGCGCCGGCCGGCCGUGGCCGGUGCCGCCUUCGACGGGGAAAGGGAAAGCACUCCUGAGGGUUUAAGGGCGAAAGUUGGGAGAAGGGAAGGAGAAAAAAGACAGGCCCAAGUUGAAGGUGCUUAACGUCUUCCGAUGUUGAGCAGAAGUGUGAACAGCGACAGUUGAGUCCAAGGUGGGGGCUUCCGUGCUUCUCUUCCUUGGAACCCCACCUGCUCUCGCUGCCGCAUCUGGGCCACCAGGUGGGAGCCCGUGUGGCUGGGCAGUGAUGGCAGACCGCGUCUGCUGCUGGGUGCAGGGAGGCGCCCCCUCUUGCCACCACCCUUCCUCCCUGUUCUUCAGCCCCCUUCCUUCCACUCGCUUCUGCUGACGCGUGAGGGGAAACGGCGUCAUCCCGUGAAAAGACAGGGUGGCCGUUGGCCACUGGCCAACCGCCGCGACCCGGGGCCGCGCUGUCAGCCACCGAGAGGCGGACCCGGAGGCAGAGAGGGAAUGAACGCUUUCGGCGGAACUUUGACCUUCGCGAUUCUCUUUGCGCUCUGUCCCCUCCCUCCCCUCCACGGCUCCAGGUAGUUGACUCUCCUGUGACAAGCCUGAGGAACAAGUCUGUCAGGAAAGAGCAUGGGGAGAAACCAGAUUGGGGAAAUUGCUUUCGGGACACAAGGUCCCCGCAAGCAGAGGCUUGUCCCCCGCCAGCGUCCUCGCGGUUGAUGUGCGUCCGGGUGUGGGAAGUUGGAGGGAAUUGCAUACACGCUCCAUUACAAGUAUCCCCCCGCUGCGUGCUGAGGGCCCCGGGUGGGGUCCCCGAAGAUGCACGGCCGUGGGGAUGAGAUCAGGGUGGGGUGAGCAGACAGGUUAUUGAAGUUGAACUGGGGGCUGAAGAGCAGAGAGCGCUGCAGGAGUUCUCCCCUUGUUCCCCUUGUUGCUUUUUUUUCUUUUUUCUUUUUCCUUUUCUUUUCCAUGAGAGAAUCAGAAAGGUCCCAUCUGCCUUUUCGGGGAGGGUCAUGCUUGGUGACUGGUAGCAUCUGGGGUAGGGUCCGGUUCAUUAUGCCACCCAGAAUAUCAAAGCGGUUUAGGCGUCGGAAACCAGGGAAGGAGGAAGGGAUUUAAAAAAAAAAAAAAAAAAAACAACAGCCCGGCCGCCAAUCGGGGGCUCUCUGUCUGCUGUCUGCCGGCUGCUGCUACCCACUCGUUACAAUUAAAAUGAAGUGUCCGUCAGCGGCUAUCUUCUCUGUGUGGCCCAUAUGUUUCUGAGCUGAUACUGUCCGGAUUAUUCUGUUCGGGAAAACGAUAACGGCUGUUUAUAACCUUGGCAAAGACUGAGGCCUAAUCAGGCUGGAGCACAUUUUCACCAACUGGCUGAUAACAGGCUGUUAGCAGCCUUAUCGCUGGGGAGAGAUAGGCCAAAAUAAGCAGAUCUGUGAGCACAGGAGCCCAAUCGAGUGGUACACACUCUGGCCCCGGCUUUAUUUUUAGAUUCCCUUUUCCCGGUUUGAUAUCAGAAGGCGCAGAGGAAGGGAGGGGGGGCGGGGAGCACCGUGUGCCCCCGCGGGAUGUUAAUCAACAUGAGAGGCAGAGGGUCAGCCCGGCUUCCAGCGCUCAGGGCGCCGUUCAAAUGAGGGAAAACACAUGCAGGUCUUGGGAGACAAAGGAAGGCGAGGGGCUGGCCUGGUGUGUGGGCCCUGAUGGCUUAGCAUCUUCCCGCCGUUGGGAGUCUCCAUCUGGAUCAUCUGGAUCGCCAGGCCUAGGUGCUCGGUUCUUCCCCCAUCCUCCCCUGCCGCAGGGACUGACUUUUGCUUUCUGUCUUAAUCCACUUUGCUGGGGCGUCUUCGUGGCAUUCCUCCAGAAUGACAUUCCCUGCCCAAUUCAUCAUCCUCACACUGGCUUAGAGACCACACAGUGGGUUGGGGGGUGAGAGGAACACAGGCAGGCCCCCCCACCCCCCCAAGCGUGGAGAGAGGACAUGGAGGGAGGCUCAGGGAAGUCUAGAGCCUGAGACACCGUGACCUCAUGGCUUAAUAGCUGGUACUCAGCCCCCAGGGAGAAACUGUUGGUUUUCAGAGAGGGGUAGGUUUCCGGCAAAGCCUUCAAGGAAGAGCCCUUCGAACUUGUCCCUCUACGGAGAUGGAUAAAAGCCAGAUCUAUAGCUUUUGCUCCUAGACCCAACUCUCUGAAACAGGUUACACCUGGGCCUUGACAUAUGUGUGGUUCUAGAACAGUUACAGAUUUGAGACAAAAAGAUACUACGUGAGGUCGUCAAGCAUGUGGUGAAAAUAAAAUGUAGGGGGGAGGCUAUAAUAGUGCUGGGCAGCAGAUGCCAUAAGCAGAAGGGAAGUUUGAAGGUAUUGUUUGCCGAAGACAGUGGAAGUCUGGAAGUCUGGUAUUUUUUUUCUCUGUUCAUUCUGCAGAAAUCUUCCUAGCCUAAAGCGCAUUAGGCAUUUUAUUUUAUUUUUUUCAAUGUUCAUUUAUUUUUGAGAGAGAGAAAGACAAGAGUGUGAGCAGGGGAGAGGAGAGAGAGAGAGGGAGACACAGACUCAGAAGCAGGCUCCAGGCUGAUGCGGGCUCGAACCCACGAACCGUGAGAUCGUGACCUGAGCCGGAGUGGGACUCUUAAUCUACUGAGCUACCCAGGCGCCCCAUGGCAUUUUAGUCUCUACUCUGCUUCUGUCUGUCUGUCUGUCUCCAUCUCUCUUCUCUGCUUUCUUCCUCUCCUCUUCCUGCUCUCUGUGCAGCUGCCCAAUUCCCGACUCACUUUUGUCUGCCUAAGACUGAGUGAGUGGAGUCAGGUGGCGGGAAAGAGGGGCCAGGGGACCGGUGCCUGGGGGGGGGGAGAGGGAGGGAAGCAUUUUCAGGGGCACACAGAUCCAAGUAAGCACAGAAGGCAGCAGAGAGCAUUAUCACCAUUAUCAUGCAAAUCUAUUUACAAGGCUCCUUUUAUUCAUUAAUCUUUGAAUAGCAGAACCUUUGGAACCGCCUGAAAUAAGAACCACCUGUGUGUCUACCACUGAAAAAACAAAAACAAAAAAUGAGUUUUAAGGACAAUUGAUACGUGGGAGCAGGAAGGGAAAAAUUAAGUAGAAAUCUCUCCAUCAUUUAGAUCUCCACAUAUAUGAUUUUAUAGCUCCCGUGUUGCAAAAUGGCCAGCUGAUUCGCAGUUUUGGAGACGUCCCCCCCAAGUUCAGAGAAAACCUCUGGGGAGGGUCGGAAAUGUAAUGAAAUUAUUAAACAGUCUGUUUCUAAAAAUCCACUUGGAGGUUCUUCGACGCCGACUUUUAUUCUCCUUUUUUGGAGAUAAUACAUAAUAAUAUACAAUGUAAUCAAUGGGAUAUAAAUGAUUUGGGUUAACGUUUCAGAGGCACUGGUGAACUCAACAUAAAGGGAUCUUUUUCAGUAUCUUCCCUGAAUUCAUAGUAAUAUAAUAUAAAAAUCUAAAGCUGGAAGAGACCUUGCAUAUGAUCUAGUUCAGUCCUCUCACUGUCUAUUAAACCUUUAAUUAAGAGUUCUUUACACGUAGUCCAAGUCCCCAUUUGUCACAUCGCACGUAGACUGGUUACAUUAUCUUUGGAGCAGUUAUUCUUACAGGGGGCAACAUAGCUCUUGCAAACACUUAUUACCCUGUGUUAUAGGCAAUUAGCAGGGGCUGCAGGGAGAUGUAGGGAAGGGCUCCAGCUUUCUCUGCCACUGUUGCUAAGAUGGCAGAAUACCAGGUAGAAAGUCCACAGAAGAGAACGUAUCCCACCUCGGGCUACGCACCUUCUAAGAAAAAAUACAGCCAUGUCAAUGGAAUGGAAUGGCUCCCGUAUUCCUUUCGGUAGGACUUUAUAUCAGCGGAGUAACCAUUGUCAUUUAAAUCCCCUCCCUGAGAGAUUCUAACUCCCAAACAUUAUUGGUCAUGUGUGUUCGAGUCAUGGAAUCUUAGAGCUGGAGGGACCCACUCUAAAGAAUUAUCUCCUCGUUGUGGAGAUGAGGAAAUUGAAACCCCAGGGAGGGGCAUCUGCCCCGUAAGCCUGAACUGGGGGCUCCGACUAGGGAUGAGGAGAAUGGUCCUGCCUUCUAGCCCAGUGCUUUUUCAUCUUUAUGAUGACCUUACAGGAUGACUUAGUUGUGGGAUGAAGAAUUUAAAAUACAUCCCUGAACUCUCCAUGCCACUGUUUACUCCUCUGUAAAAUGAGGCUUGUGAUUCCCCGAUUGAUCUUGUAAGUUCCUCGAGAGCUGGGACCGUGCCGACCAUUCCCGUGUUUCCCAAGACACCAGCUCUCACCUCUCUCUGCAUGUGGAGCUGCUCAAGAGAUGUUGACUGUUGAAUAGUGGAGUGAGUGAACGGAUGAAUAGGACUUUGAAUUGGACUUCUCCAGUGAUGACUCUUUCACGAAAUGAUUUUUCUAAGUUGUGUGCACCUUCCCAGCUUCGCAUUUCUUAAAUCUCUUUCAGCAGAAACAGUGAAAAAUGGUGACGGGAUCUUGGGCGGUUCUGAUGACAGACCUCUGGGUCCUGCAGAGGCCCGAUUAUAAUCAGGGAAUUUUUGUUGGUGUGUGUUUGCCUUGCGGUUGGUUGUUCACGAAGCCUUGGGGAGACCCCGUGCUCCUGAGGGUCAGUUGACUUUGGGUUCUCAGCAACAGGAGUCCGGUGCGUUCUUGAGUUGUCCAGGAACCUCCUCCAGUUGUGUUGCUGUGGGAUCUUUCCAUGUCUCCCGGUGAUGGACGGGGAACGUCACCCCGGGUGGAGACCUUAUUUAACUUGCUCUUUUCUAGUGUCUAAAUAACACCUGGGUCCCAGGAGGUACUUGAUGAGUGGGUGAGUUAAACGUAGGUAUGUCUACUUUUGCUUCACUGGCCCAGGCCUUCAAAGCGAGAGGCUGGAUUGAAAGCCUGUGGAUUAUCGGAGUCUGUUCCUCUGACUCAGAAAUCCUGGCCGGGAUACGCUUUUCCCCUCGAAGCAUAAAUUCUGUCAGUCAGUUAAAAAUCUGUAUCUUGGGACCUUCACUCACCCUACCUACCAGGGCCCUUUGUAUACCAGGCUCCUUUCCUCAUCACCCUGAGAUGACUACACACAGAGGCAGACUCUCCACACAGACUUUGAAGGCCGCCGUUCAGAGGGUCCAACUCCAAGGCAGAGAGAUUACUUGGGAGUUGGGGGGCCGGGGGUGGGUAUAACAAAACUGCAGUUCUCUGGAAUCUUACUUGCUUCUCAGAGGCACGUGACUGGCAUAUUUGGGUCAUUACAUAGAAAGACAUUCUGCGUAUGAGUUAUGCCAGCGAGAUGUUUCCAGAUCACAUGACAACGGUGUGUGUGGUGACUGCCAAGUGGUGUUUCUCUGCGCAGGACUCUGAACACACCGCCCACUGGUCUGCGUAAGGCGGCCGCACUCUGCACUAAACGCGGCAUCAUUCAUUCUGGGAUCUCCGAACCUUCCAUAAACAGUCGGUCGCUUAAGACUCCUGUGAGUUAAAUAAAUAAUAAGAUCCUUACCCCCUUGAACAGAAUGGGAAGACUAAAUAUUGAAAAAUUAGGCAAUUUAGCCCAAGGCGGAGUGUGCAGAGAAAGCACGACCUGGUGAACCAACCCCGUGCGCCGGCAGCAAGAAUUUUUCCUGCGAACAUUUUUAUAAUGGCAGAUUGCCGCGUGGCUUGGCGAGGGCCUUU
This is a long non-coding RNA of Leopardus geoffroyi (Geoffroy's cat), 6783 nucleotides long. RefSeq lists it as uncharacterized. The transcript has 2 exons. The record is from RefSeq and is a predicted model, not a curated record. NCBI's taxonomy places the organism in Eukaryota, Metazoa, Chordata, Mammalia, Carnivora, Felidae.